AUGUACAGCUGUGAAGGAUCCCUUCCCUCCGACUUGGAAGAACAAAUCAAAAAUCAAUUCGUUGAAAACGAAAUUGAGUAUCACAAGGACACAUUGGAGUCUCCAAAGGAGGAGUCAGUUGAGGAGGGACAAUUCAAAGGGAGGCCCAUAGAUGAACCAGCAAAGGAAGAUGUGGAUGUCGUGGGUGAAGAAAAGUUGCCAGAAUCAGAGUCACCAGAUAGGAUAUCUGGAUCGGUCUCUCCUGAAGUGGUUCCUGAAGUGGUACCUGAAGUGGUACCUGAAGUGGUACCUGAAGUGAUACCUGAAGUGGUGCCUGAAAAUGAAUCAGUGGAUUUUGAAGAGGAGCCUCCUGGUCUUGGGUACCUAACUCUACCCGCUCUUCUAGAAGAAGAAAUUCAGAUGGAGAGACAUUGCCCUAGUUUUGGAGUCACCUUGGAGUUUGUCGGGGACGGCUCCAACGGCAUGUUGGUGAGAAACAUCAGCAGUGACGGGGAUUUUGCUCGAGACAAUCGCAUAGCACCGAAUGAUUUUUUAGUUUCUCUAAACAAUGAGAAUUUGAGGCAUAUAACGAAUGCUCAAGCUCGAUUAAUCAUCCAACGGGCAGAGUUAUUACUCACUCCUAUCUAG
This 627-nucleotide long non-coding RNA is filed under the name Bemisia tabaci. RNAcentral's name for it is "lncRNA ENSSSA1UGG004461". Lineage: Eukaryota; Metazoa; Arthropoda; Insecta; Hemiptera; Aleyrodidae. The record is from RNAcentral.